GGGAUGCAGUGUAUGGAACGUCUAUAAUCUAGUAUGAGAAAUUAACGAUUUAAGUCCUUCUUAAAUGAGGCCAUUUACCCAUAGAGGGUGCCAGGCCCGUAUAACGUUAAUGAUUAUUAGAAGAUGUUUCCAAAGAGUCGUGUUGCUUGAUAGUGCAGCACUAAGUGGGUGGUAAACUCCAUCUAAAACUAAAUAUGACCAUGAGACCGAUAGUAAACAAGUACCGUGAGGGAAAGUUGAAAAGAACUCUGAAUAGAGAGUUAAAUAGUACGUGAAACUGCUUAGAGGUUAAGCCCGAUGAACCUGAAUAUCCGUUAUGGAAAAUUCAUCACUAAUACUAUGAUAUUUAUAAUAUUAUAGAAAUGGUGUGCAAUUUUUCCAUAUAAGGACAUUGUAAUCUGUUAAUGUAUUAAAUAUUUAUUAAAAGAUCUUAUACAUAAGUUUAUUCAAAUUAGUUAUUUUCGAAUUUCUAACAUAGAAUAAAUGUAUUUGAUUUAAUAAAUCAUUGACAGAUUUUAUUAUAAUAUAGUGCUCAAAUUUUGAACGAAAUUUUACAAUAAUAUGAUAAUUCAAUUUGUUAUAUUUAUUGUAUGCGCUUAUAUGAUUAACAAUGCGAUAGAUUCAGGAUACCUUCGGGACCCGUCUUGAAACACGGACCAAGGAGUCUAACAUAUGUGCAAGUCAUUGGGUAUUUUUAAUAAAACCCAAUGGCAUAAUUAACUUAACUGUUUUUUAAAAAUGGGAUUAGUUUAUAUUUUAUUAUGAAAUAUUAAUUCAAUCCCGGGGCGUUCUAUAUAGUUAUGCAUAAUGAUAUUUAUAUUAUUUAUGUCUCUAACUAGAGCGUACCUUGAGCAUAUAUGCUGUGACCCGAAAGAUGGUGAACUAUACUUGAUCAGGUUGAAGUCAGGGGAAACCCUGAUGGAAGACCGAAACAGUUCUGACGUGCAAAUCGA
Molecule: ribosomal RNA, 953 nt
Filed under: Leucopodella sp. ZFMK D276
Lineage: Eukaryota; Metazoa; Arthropoda; Insecta; Diptera; Syrphidae
Description: partial 28S large subunit ribosomal RNA
Rfam family: Eukaryotic large subunit ribosomal RNA
Source: RNAcentral